Long non-coding RNA from Corvus hawaiiensis (hawaiian crow), 429 nucleotides. RefSeq lists it as uncharacterized. The record is from RefSeq and is a predicted model, not a curated record. The transcript is spliced from 3 exons. NCBI's taxonomy places the organism in Eukaryota, Metazoa, Chordata, Aves, Passeriformes, Corvidae.
UAGACCUUGAGAGAGUCCACUUUAACCUGUUCACCCAGCAAGAAAAGGGCAGGAUUUUCUCGAGUGAAUAAAACCAAUUGAUUCAUGAAAAUAGAUUCUUGAGAAACUUCACCAUGAGAUACAGCUCUGAUUUGAGGAGGGAAAUAGAAGCAUUUAUUCAGGUUGUGCAGUCAACCUCCUGAACAGUGCACUGAAACUGUAAUUCCCACCCUCAAGACGCACUUGGUCUGAAGAACUUGCAGCAACAUCUGUAUUUUGUGCUAAAGAAAGCUGUGUGAAGAUUCUAAGCUUGUCAACUGAAUUUUUUAACAUUAAUUUUUGUUAGCACAGGACUGCAGCAGCAGUUAUAGUCAGUUAACGAGUAGCUCCUAAAACAUGUGUGUCUUUUUGUGUGUGUAUGAUUAAAUUAUAAAUAAACUCUUGAAUGAC